GCCAGGCGUGGUGGCUCACGCCUGUAAUCCCAGCACUUUGGGAGGCUGAGGUGGGUGGAUUUCCUGAGCUCAGGAGUUCGAUACCAGCCUGGGCAACAUGGUGAAACCCCAUCUCUA
Molecule: unclassified non-coding RNA, 117 nt
Organism: Pongo abelii (Sumatran orangutan)
Lineage: Eukaryota; Metazoa; Chordata; Mammalia; Primates; Hominidae
Rfam family: Metazoan signal recognition particle RNA
About the family: The signal recognition particle (SRP) is a universally conserved ribonucleoprotein. It is involved in the co-translational targeting of proteins to membranes.
Source: Ensembl